CAGAGUUGUAAAACUCCCAAACCCAUGUGAACAUACCUCUGUUGCCUCGGCGGCCUACCCGGUAGCUACCCUGUAGUUACCCUGUAGACCGCCGGUGGACAUCAAAACUCUUGUUAUCAAUGUGUUACUCUGAGUAAUUAUUUUAAUAAGUUA
RNAcentral lists this unclassified non-coding RNA (153 nucleotides) under uncultured Xylariales. RNAcentral describes it as "sequence contains ITS1". The record is from RNAcentral. Lineage: Eukaryota; Fungi; Ascomycota; Sordariomycetes; Xylariales.